GUGCUCAUUUUGGCAGCACAGAUGCUAAAAUUGGAAUGAUACAGAGAUUAGCAUGGUCCCUGUGCAGGGAUGGCAUGCAAAUUCAUAAAAGACUCCAUAUUCUU
Peromyscus leucopus (white-footed mouse) is the source of this 104-nucleotide small nuclear RNA. Lineage: Eukaryota; Metazoa; Chordata; Mammalia; Rodentia; Cricetidae. The record is from RefSeq and is a predicted model, not a curated record.